ACCCUUUAACGUUUGAUGUUCUAACCCGGGUCCAUAAUCUGGAUCGGGGACCGUGUCUGGUGGGUAGUUUGACUGGGGCGGUCUCCUCCCAAAGAGUAACGGAGGAGCACGAAGGUUGGCUAAGCAUGGUCGGACAUCAUGCGGUUAGUGCAAAGGCAUAAGCCAGCUUGACUGCGAGAGUGACGGCUCGAGCAGGUACGAAAGUAGGUCUUAGUGAUCCGGUGGUUCUGAAUGGAAGGGCCAUCGCUCAACGGAUAAAAGGUACUCCGGGGAUAACAGGCUGAUACCGCCCAAGAGUUCAUAUCGACGGCGGUGUUUGGCACCUCGAUGUCGGCUCAUCACAUCCUGGGGCUGAAGUAGGUCCCAAGGGUAUGGCUGUUCGCCAUUUAAAGUGGUACGCGAGCUGGGUUUAGAACGUCGUGAGACAGUUCGGUCCCUAUCUGCCGUGG
RNAcentral lists this ribosomal RNA (449 nucleotides) under Morganella morganii subsp. morganii. Its description in RNAcentral is "partial 23S ribosomal RNA". It matches the Rfam family "Bacterial large subunit ribosomal RNA", at positions 2202 to 2650 of the family's 2925-position model. The record is from RNAcentral. Lineage: Bacteria; Pseudomonadati; Pseudomonadota; Gammaproteobacteria; Enterobacterales; Morganellaceae.